UGAAACCAUUAAUAAAGUAUGUGAUCUCAAGUUUUUCUGAAGAAGAAAGGGGAAAAAAAAACACACAACUGUUAUGGGAAUCAGGUGGGGACCUGGGCAUUCACUCUGGGUCUCCGUGCAAGCCACCAAGUUGCAGAUGCCAUUAUGAUGCCAUUCUGACUUCCCUGGGCAGAUGACCUCACCAAUCUGUCCCCAAAUCUCACCACUCCAGAGCCCUACUCUAGUAGGGAAAGAUAGAAACAAGCUUGGGGGUAUGGGCCAAUCUGCCAACACCCAUGUCCAACGGAAAAGCAAUUACAGAAGCCAGACCUUCCACCUUCUGUACCCCAUAGAGACUUUUGGUCCAGACUCCCAGAGGGAUAAAAAAUAGGGAAGCUUCCAAUGGAGGGGAUGGGGCAUGGGACUCUGCUGGUGGGCACUGUGUGGCAU
This is a long non-coding RNA of Erinaceus europaeus (western European hedgehog), 429 nucleotides long. RefSeq lists it as uncharacterized. Lineage: Eukaryota; Metazoa; Chordata; Mammalia; Eulipotyphla; Erinaceidae. The record is from RefSeq and is a predicted model, not a curated record. The transcript is spliced from 3 exons.